RNAcentral lists this transfer RNA (73 nucleotides) under Caudoviricetes sp. RNAcentral describes it as "tRNA-Met". It matches the Rfam family "tRNA". From Rfam's summary of the family: Transfer RNA (tRNA) molecules are approximately 80 nucleotides in length. Their secondary structure includes four short double-helical elements and three loops (D, anti-codon, and T loops). Further hydrogen bonds mediate the characteristic L-shaped molecular structure. tRNAs have two regions of fundamental functional importance: the anti-codon, which is responsible for specific mRNA codon recognition, and the 3' end, to which the tRNAs corresponding amino acid is attached (by aminoacyl-tRNA synthetases). tRNAs cope with the degeneracy of the genetic code in two manners: having more than one tRNA (with a specific anti-codon) for a particular amino acid; and 'wobble' base-pairing, i.e. permitting non-standard base-pairing at the 3rd anti-codon position. Lineage: Duplodnaviria; Heunggongvirae; Uroviricota; Caudoviricetes. The record is from RNAcentral.
CGCGGUGUGGAGAAGAUGGUAUCUCACAAGGCUCAUAACCUUGUAGUCGCAGGUUCGAGUCCUGCUGCCGCAA